AUCUGGUGGGGUAGUGGUGUUUACCGGACAUGGAAGGGGGGGGAAGAGAAAGAGAAUGGUUUUUUGUUUUUUUUUUCAAGUGUCAAUUUUUAGUCCAAAUAGACGCCACGUCAGCUCGAUAUUACCACGUAGGCGACAAGUCAGCCCGGAGCUUCACCGGAGAAAAAAAUAUGGAAAAAUUGUUCAAUACAUUAAGUUCAGGGAAUUUU
RNAcentral lists this long non-coding RNA (209 nucleotides) under Salvia miltiorrhiza (redroot sage). Its description in RNAcentral is "long non-coding RNA (SMIL_LNC011604)". Lineage: Eukaryota; Viridiplantae; Streptophyta; Magnoliopsida; Lamiales; Lamiaceae. The record is from RNAcentral.